AUUUGGUUUCCUCUCCAGAAAUGUAUGCAGCUCCCACCUUGCUACAAUUCUGUGAGCAAGUGGGACUUGCAUAACAGCAACAGCCUUUUGGGGAAAAAGGCAUUGUUUGGAGGAUGGCACAGAAUGGGCAGCAAAGAACAACAGAGGCAAGCUAUGUUUGAGAUUUCCAAAAGAAGUUACGAAGUGCCCAGCUGAUGUGAUGCGAGGCUUUAUCAAAGAUGCUGCCUGCCUCAUGGUAACUUUGUGCUAUUCUGCAAGAAGGUGCUUUGGUUGUGAGCCUGUAGGGGACUCAUUUUGGGGGAGGGGAGUCUCCUUGUUUAUGAAGCCUGUGAACUAUAGGAUCUGCUCAGUGUAGAUGAUUUGGCUCACAGUUCCUCUCAUAUUAAUUAUUAAAAAUCCUUACAAUCUCUUUUACUAUUGUCAUAAUUUGUGCCCAAACCUUUAUUGCUAUUCCCAAUUUUGUACGCUACUAAGUAAAAACUAGAAGUUCAGAAAUCUUGACUAAAUGUCUUUUCCUAGGAGACUCACUAAAUGAUGCCUUUCUACUUGACACAUAAUGGUACUUAUACCAGAUCGAUGUUAUUCUCUCUAUAUGGUAGAGAAUGUGUUUCA
Molecule: long non-coding RNA, 612 nt
Organism: Crotalus tigris (Tiger rattlesnake)
Lineage: Eukaryota; Metazoa; Chordata; Lepidosauria; Squamata; Viperidae
Exons: 3
Source: RefSeq, a predicted model, not a curated record